UACGGGGGGGGCAGGCGUUGUUCGGAAUUACUGGGCGUAAAGGGCUCGUAGGCGGCCAACUAAGUCGGACGUGAAAUCCCUCGGCUUAACCGGGGAACUGCGUCCGAUACUGGAUGGCUUGAGUUCGGGAGAGGGAUGCGGAAUUCCAGGUGUAGCGGUGAAAUGCGUAGAUAUCUGGAGGAACACCGGUGGCGAAGGCGGCAUCCUGGACCGACACUGACGCUGAGGAGCGAAAGCCAGGGGAGCAAACGGG
This 253-nucleotide ribosomal RNA is filed under the name uncultured bacterium. Its description in RNAcentral is "partial 16S ribosomal RNA". It matches the Rfam family "Bacterial small subunit ribosomal RNA", at positions 524 to 776 of the family's 1533-position model. The record is from RNAcentral.